RNAcentral lists this ribosomal RNA (1037 nucleotides) under Bacillus sonorensis. Its description in RNAcentral is "bacterial SSU rRNA". It matches the Rfam family "Bacterial small subunit ribosomal RNA", at positions 35 to 1055 of the family's 1533-position model. The record is from RNAcentral. Lineage: Bacteria; Bacillati; Bacillota; Bacilli; Caryophanales; Bacillaceae.
GCAUUGCGGGUGCUAUACAUGCAGUCGAGCGGACAGAUGGGAGCUUGCUCCCUGAUGUUAGCGGCGGACGGGUGAGUAACACGUGGGUAACCUGCCUGUAAGACUGGGAUAACUCCGGGAAACCGGGGCUAAUACCGGAUGCUUGAUUGAACCGCAUGGUUCAAUUAUAAAAGGUGGCUUUUAGCUACCACUUACAGAUGGACCCGCGGCGCAUUAGCUAGUUGGUGAGGUAACGGCUCACCAAGGCAACGAUGCGUAGCCGACCUGAGAGGGUGAUCGGCCACACUGGGACUGAGACACGGCCCAGACUCCUACGGGAGGCAGCAGUAGGGAAUCUUCCGCAAUGGACGAAAGUCUGACGGAGCAACGCCGCGUGAGUGAUGAAGGUUUUCGGAUCGUAAAACUCUGUUGUUAGGGAAGAACAAGUACCGUUCGAAUAGGGCGGUACCUUGACGGUACCUAACCAGAAAGCCACGGCUAACUACGUGCCAGCAGCCGCGGUAAUACGUAGGUGGCAAGCGUUGUCCGGAAUUAUUGGGCGUAAAGCGCGCGCAGGCGGUUUCUUAAGUCUGAUGUGAAAGCCCCCGGCUCAACCGGGGAGGGUCAUUGGAAACUGGGGAACUUGAGUGCAGAAGAGGAGAGUGGAAUUCCACGUGUAGCGGUGAAAUGCGUAGAGAUGUGGAGGAACACCAGUGGCGAAGGCGACUCUCUGGUCUGUAACUGACGCUGAGGCGCGAAAGCGUGGGGAGCGAACAGGAUUAGAUACCCUGGUAGUCCACGCCGUAAACGAUGAGUGCUAAGUGUUAGAGGGUUUCCGCCCUUUAGUGCUGCAGCAAACGCAUUAAGCACUCCGCCUGGGGAGUACGGUCGCAAGACUGAAACUCAAAGGAAUUGACGGGGGCCCGCACAAGCGGUGGAGCAUGUGGUUUUAUUCGAAGCACGUCGAAGAACCUUUACCAGGUCUUGACAUCCUCUGACAACCCUAGAGAUAGGUCUUCCCUUCGGGAGCAGAGUGACAGGUGGUGCAUGUUUGUCGA